UACGGGGGGGGCAAGCGUUGUUCGGAAUUACUGGGCGUAAAGGGCUCGUAGGCGGCCAACUAAGUCCGACGUGAAAUCCCCAGGCUUAACCUGGGAACUGCGUCGGAUACUGGAUGGCUUGAAUUCGGGAGAGGGAUACAGAAUUCCAGGUGUAGCGGUGAAAUGCGUAGAUAUCUGGAGGAAUACCGGUGGCGAAGGCGGCAUCCUGGACCGACAUUGACGCUGAGGAGCGAAAGCUAGGGGAGCAAACAGGG
RNAcentral lists this ribosomal RNA (254 nucleotides) under uncultured bacterium. RNAcentral describes it as "partial 16S ribosomal RNA". It matches the Rfam family "Bacterial small subunit ribosomal RNA", at positions 524 to 777 of the family's 1533-position model. The record is from RNAcentral.